GCAGGAGAGGAAAUAAGGGGAGAAUGAUAUUUGGGUCUAGCCGGUGGGGGAGUUUUAGAAGGAAUAAAGAGGUGGUUGAAGGCAGUGUUGACUUUUCAUCUUCCCCAGUUUUUGAUAGUGGUGAUGGUGGUCUUAGUACAAAGGUGAAAAUCACAAGGAUUAGAAGGAAGUCCAGCUUCUUGAGUUUCUCUUCCACAAGAUCACAUUUGUGGACAAACAUCUAUGAAAGCUUUAAGCAGGUGGUCCCAUGGAGACGUAGGCAGCAGAGAAAUUGAGACAGAUAAUAAGCCAGUAAUUUAUCACCAAAUGCCAACUUUUGAUCUUCUAGACCUGGUAAAGUCCAAUUCCAAGUGGUGUGCUCUAAUUCCCCUGCCAUGUUUGGUUGAAAUUUUGUAUAUAUAGGAACAAUGUUGAAGACAAUAGUUCCUGCUUAGUUAAUUUGAUAAUGUAAUAAUAUUUGGAUAAAUGCUGCCAACUUAGU
This 481-nucleotide unclassified non-coding RNA is filed under the name Hevea brasiliensis (rubber tree). The record is from RNAcentral. Lineage: Eukaryota; Viridiplantae; Streptophyta; Magnoliopsida; Malpighiales; Euphorbiaceae.